This 661-nucleotide ribosomal RNA is filed under the name Lecidea cancriformis. Its description in RNAcentral is "SSU rRNA". It matches the Rfam family "Bacterial small subunit ribosomal RNA", at positions 358 to 1099 of the family's 1533-position model. The record is from RNAcentral. Lineage: Eukaryota; Fungi; Ascomycota; Lecanoromycetes; Lecideales; Lecideaceae.
UGAAUGUAUGGCAAUAGCUGGUUGCAUUAACAAAAAGUUAGUGUAAGAUCGACUCUGUCGAAUAAAAUUCUAGAUAGAAUUAUGAUAAUGACAUUAUCUAUCUAUGUGUCUUGACCAAAUUACGUGCCAGCAGUCGCGGUAAUACGUAAAAGACUAGUGUUAUUCAUCUUUAAUAGGUUUAAAGGGUACUUAGACGGUAAAUAAAGCCCGAAUAGGGAACUAAUAUACUAGAGUUUGAUGUAAGGAAGCAUGAAAGUACUGUUGGUGUAGAGAUAAAAUUCUAUCAUACCAAAUAUGGCACAGGUUUAGGCGAAAGCAUCUUCUUAUGUAAUAACUGACGUUGAAGGACGAAGGCUUUGUGUCUCGAACAGGAUUAGAUACCCCAGUAGUCUAAGCAGACAAUGAUGAAUGUCAUAGAUUAGAUUUAAUUAAAUUUAUUCUAUAAAUGAAAGUGUAAGCAUUCCACCUCAAGAGUAAUUUGGCAACAUUGGAACUGAAAUCAUUAGACCGUUUCUGAAACCAGUAGUGAAGUAUGUUGUUUAAUUAGAAGAUACGCAAAAAACCUUACCACAAUUUGAAUUAGUAAUAUGUUUUCACAAGCGUUGCACGGCUGUCUACAGUUAAUGUCGUGAGAUUUUGGUUAGUUCCAUUAAAUUAACGC